RNAcentral lists this ribosomal RNA (253 nucleotides) under uncultured bacterium. Its description in RNAcentral is "partial 16S ribosomal RNA". It matches the Rfam family "Bacterial small subunit ribosomal RNA", at positions 524 to 776 of the family's 1533-position model. The record is from RNAcentral.
UACAGGGGGUGCAAGCGUUGUUCGGAAUUACUGGGCGUAAAGCGUGCGUAGUCGGUAUUGAGAGUCGCGGGUGAAAUCCCAGGGCUUAACCCUGGAACUGCCUGCGAGACCUCAGUACUAGAGUGUGAGAGGGGAUAGUGGAAUACCCAGUGUAGCGGUGAAAUGCGUAGAGACCCGGAGGAACACCAGCGGCGAAGGCGGCGCUCUGGGCCGGAACUGACGCUGAGGAGCGAAAGCGUGGGUAGGAAACAGG